Molecule: transfer RNA, 63 nt
Filed under: Cyrtodactylus sp. SR2-2020
Lineage: Eukaryota; Metazoa; Chordata; Lepidosauria; Squamata; Gekkonidae
Description: partial tRNA-Tyr
Source: RNAcentral
GGUAGGGUGGCCGAGUAGGCGGCAAGCUGUAGAUUUGCCCACGGGGCAGCGCCCCCCCAACCA